UCCGUAGGCGGAUUAAUAAGUCAGAGGUGAAAUCCCACAGCUUAACUGUGGAACUGCCUUUGAUACUGUUAGUCUUGAGUUAUGUGGAAGUAGAUAGAAUGUGUAGUGUAGCGGUGAAAUGCUUAGAGAUUACACAGAAUACCGAUUGCGAAGGCAGUCUACUACGUAUAUACUGACGCUAAUGGACGAAAGCGUGGGGAGCGAACA
This 207-nucleotide ribosomal RNA is filed under the name uncultured bacterium. RNAcentral describes it as "partial 16S ribosomal RNA". It matches the Rfam family "Bacterial small subunit ribosomal RNA", at positions 568 to 774 of the family's 1533-position model. The record is from RNAcentral.